AUUGAACGCUGGCGGCAUGCCUUACACAUGCAAGUCGAACGGCAGCACGGGAGCAAUCCUGGUGGCGAGUGGCGAACGGGUGAGUAAAGUAUCGGAACGUGCCCAGUCGUGGGGGAUAACGUAGGGAAAGUUACGCUAAUACCGCAUACGAGCUAUGGACGAAAGCGGGGGAUCGCAAGACCUCGCGCGAUUGGAGCGGCCGAUAUCAGAUUAGGUAGUUGGUGGGGUAAAGGCUCACCAAGCCGACGAUCUGUAGCUGGUCUGAGAGGACGACCAGCCACACUGGGACUGAGACACAGCCCAGACUCCUACGGGAGGCAGCAGUGGGGAAUUUUGGACAAUGAGCGAAAGCCUGAUCCAGCCAUGCCGCGUGCAGGAUGAAGGCCUUCGGGUUGUAAACUGCUUUUGUACGGAACGAAAAGGUUUGGGCUAAUAAGCUGAGCUCAUGACGGUACCGUAAGAAUAAGCACCGGCUAACUACGUGCCAGCCGCCGCCGUAA
This 500-nucleotide ribosomal RNA is filed under the name uncultured bacterium. Its description in RNAcentral is "partial 16S ribosomal RNA". It matches the Rfam family "Bacterial small subunit ribosomal RNA", at positions 30 to 523 of the family's 1533-position model. The record is from RNAcentral.